This 460-nucleotide ribosomal RNA is filed under the name uncultured bacterium. RNAcentral's name for it is "partial 16S ribosomal RNA". It matches the Rfam family "Bacterial small subunit ribosomal RNA", at positions 338 to 795 of the family's 1533-position model. The record is from RNAcentral.
CCUACGGGUGGCAGCAGUGAGGAAUAUUGGUCAAUGGACGCAAGUCUGAACCAGCCAUGCCGCGUGCAGGAAGACGGCUCUAUGAGUUGUAAACUGCUUUUGUACGAGGGUAAACGCAGAUACGUGUAUCUGUCUGAAAGUAUAGUACGAAUAAGGAUCGGCUAACUCCGUGCCAGCAGCCGCGGUAAUACGGAGGAUUCAAGCGUUAUCCGGAUUUAUUGGGUUUAAAGGGUGCGUAGGCGGUCGGAUAAGUUAGCGGUGAAAUCCCGAGGCUCAACUUCGGAAUUGCCUCUGAUACUGUUCGGCGAGAGAGUAGUGGCGGUAGGCGGAAUGUAUGGUGUAGCGGUGAAAUGCUUAGAGAUCAUACAGAACACCGAUUGCGAAGGCAGCUUACCAAGCUACUUCUGACGUUGAGGCACGAAAGCGUGGGGAGCAAACAGGAUUAGAUACCCGGGUAGGC